RNAcentral lists this long non-coding RNA (216 nucleotides) under Capsicum annuum. Its description in RNAcentral is "long non-coding RNA (CANN_LNC017018)". Lineage: Eukaryota; Viridiplantae; Streptophyta; Magnoliopsida; Solanales; Solanaceae. The record is from RNAcentral.
CACUCUUUAUUUUUCCAACCAUUUUCUUCGACUCUUCUGGCACACUGGACUUCUUGUUAAGAAAUUUUGGUGGUCCAGUUAACUUAAAAGCAGGCUCAGGAGUAUAACAAUGAUCACCAAAAGUAUUGAAUAUAAGUUCACUGGCAGCAUGGGGACGCAUAAUCGUUAGGCGAGCCAGUGCGGAAGUCCCAGUAGAGGAUUGAGCAACAAGAUCGC